GAUCAGCAACACGUGACUACGGAGGGCCCUCCAAGCGAGUUUAUAAGAGUGGUUGAGGCAAGUGGCUGGUUUGGGAAUCACUGCUAAUAUUGCUUACUCACAAUUAAUAUAAUAUUAAUAUAAUAAUUUUGACAUGUAUAAUAAAUUAGAGCAACUUCAAUAAAAAAAUGAUUAGAAUAGCGAUGGGACACGCAAAGAAGCAUCCAGGGCUCAUCCCCCAGUUCCUUGUCGUCUUGUUGGGAAUAGGAGGAGCCUCUAUGUACUUGUGCCGUCUUGCAAAUGGGCCCCAUGUUAAAUGCACUGAGGAAUAUAGAGUGUACAAUUCCUUCUAUCAUCAUGUGCCGAGAAACCACCGUCAACACCUACUUGAUUGCACCUGACCAGAUGAACAGCCUUCGGAGGAAAGCCAAGUACCACUGGAACAAUACACAGGACAACAUUUAACCCGUUCAGCUUCGAGCUAACUCCAGCAUCACUGAUCAGCAACUACGUACACCUGACUCAGAUGAAGGGCAAAGGGGCGUUGACCAACAUAGAGCUGUCACAGUGCAACAAGCGUGAAUGACAUUGUUGCUGGGGUACAGCAGUAUCAAUCACUAUUGGACAACCUCAGGAAGCAGAUGGAGGCAGUGCUAAAGAAGCAUUCAGGGUGCACAUCAGGUCAACUUGAAAAAGAUGCAAUGCAUAUAUUUGACAAUUUCAUUUACCCUUUUUAUUUAGACAGGACAGUGUUAUUAAGAAGCUGUUUGGACGCAGAGGAAAUUCCAAUUUGCUCGAACCAUAUGCAGGAUCAAAAGACAUUUUCAUCAAAGACAAAUUAUUUUAUUAUGUACCAUUAGUCAAAAGUCUAGAACAGUUCUUAUCACACCCAAGGAUUUUGUCUGUGGUUGAAAAGGGACCCCAGAUGUGCAGGGAAAGUUUUUGUUCAUGACAUUGUUGAUGGUGCUCAUUUAAAAUCACAUCCCUUAUUUUCAAGAGAAACCAAAGGCAUUACAGAUUGUUCUGUACACGGAUGAAAUAGAAAUCUGUAAUCCACUAGGAUCCUUUGCAUCAAAAAACAAGUUGUUAAUGGUGUAAUACACCCUGGGGAAAUAUAAAUCCAAAAUACAGGUCUAAACUGGCUGCUAUCAGGCUACCUGCCAUGGCUAGAUCAGCAGACCUCCGUCAAUCUGGUGUAGAUGUAAUAUUGAAUAGAAUCAAGGACGACAUGGAUGCAUUGUACAGUGGGGUUAAAAUGCUAUCUAUUAACGGAGAGAAAACGAUAUAUGGUGCCAUGGUCUCUCUCUGUGGAGACACCCUGGCACAACAUGAACCAGCAGAGUUCAAAGAGAGUGUGGGCUUUGCCUAUAGUAAGCGCGGACACUGUGAGUGUUCUUUUCAGGACAUGCAGUCACACUUCAAUGAGGAUGCAUAUACUAAAAGGACAUUGGAGAAGCAUGUCAGACGCUGUGAUGAAAUAGGAAAGGCGCAGACGGACUUGCUUAGCAACAGCCUGAGAACAACAUAUGGGAUCAAUAGAAAGAGCAAGUUAGUUGAAUUCCCAGCCUUUGAUAUCAUACAACAAACUCUGCAAGACAUUAUGCAUGUCAUUCUGGAGGGCAUAGCCCCAUUGGAAGUCAAAUGUGUUUCGAAUCAUCUUUUUGUGUCAGGACAGAUUGAUCUGGACUCUGUGAUUUCUGCUGUUCUUGGUUUCUCUUAUUUCCCUCUUGAUGUUUGAGAUCGGCCACCCCCAAUUUCUGUUAGUACAUUAAAGUCAAGUGAUGGUAAACUAAAGUCAUCUUGGCAUAUGCUUGUCCUGCUAAAGAUAUUGCCAUUUGGUUUGGAGAGUUUGGAAGUCAAUGCAUAUAUACAACUGAUAAUUGAGCUAAUAGAGAUUGCACAGAUAGUAUUUUGCACCUGUUCUUACCAUUGGGACUGUGUCUAGGUUGAAGUUACUCAUUGAAAAUCAUUUGAAGCAUUGGAACGAGCUUUUUCCAGACCGCAAUGUUACACCUAAACAGCAUUAUAUGAUACAUUUGCCAUCGCAGAUAAAGUCAUUGGGGCCAAUGGUUAGACAUAUGUCUAUGCGGUUGUUUCUUUAAACAAUGGGCUUCCAAGCUCAAUUUAAUUUAAUUCAACUUUGAUCAAUCAGAACCACAUAUAUUAAAGCUGCCAAAAUGUUGACUGUUCAAUGCACCCAAAUUUCUUUUCAAAUGAAAGGGAGAUGGGACCUCUAUCAGAGGUUAAACAUCUACAAUAUUUAUGUGGAGAAUUGAGGGACUUCCUAGGUUUCAAUGAAGUAAACCAUGCUGUAUCAGUCAAAUGGCUUGUAAUAAAUUCGAAUAAAUACAUAACUCAGAAGUUCAUGAUCUUUGCCAAAGUACUGAAUGGUAAUAUGCCAGAAUUUGAACUGGUCAAAAACACAUUUCUUGUUGAUUCUAGGCAUUAUUGUUUGGAAUAUCAACCAUUUCAAACUAGAACCCUUUGAUAGAAACUUCAUGGCUUAUCAAGUUGAGGUCCCACACCUUGCACAGGCCACUGAGUUAGUGGAUGCUGAAAAGCUGGUUGAUUUGACCUCUUAUUACACAAUUAGCAACAAGAGCCAAACUUAUGUACAAGUCAAAUACCAUCUUGGGGAUGUAAUUGAAUUGUACAACAGUUCAAAUGACUCAGUGUGUUCCCCAGAUAUGAAAAGUGUACUGUCUUUGUUCUGUACUGUAUUUUGUCUACAUGAUUGCUGUGCUGUGUGUAAGAUUUACAAUAAAACAGCGAAUA
Molecule: long non-coding RNA, 2754 nt
Organism: Oncorhynchus keta (chum salmon)
Lineage: Eukaryota; Metazoa; Chordata; Actinopteri; Salmoniformes; Salmonidae
Exons: 5
Source: RefSeq, a predicted model, not a curated record